AACUUUCAACAAUGGAUCUCUUGGCUCUCGCAUCGAUGAAGAACGCAGCGAAAGGCGAUAAGUAAUGUGAAUUGCAGAAUUCAGUGAAUCAUCGAAUCUUUGAACGCACCUUGCGCCCUUUGGUUAUUCCGAAGGGCAUGCCUGUUUGAGUAUCGUGAACACCGCAACUCUCACGGUUUGCCGUGAUGAGCUUGGAUUUUGGGGGUCUUGCUGGCCUAUGGUCGGCUCCUCUCAAAUGAAUCAGCUUGCCAGUGUUUGGUGGCAUCACAGGUGUGAUAACUAUCUAUGCUUGUGGUUUUCCACCAGGUAACCUCCAGCAAUGGAGGUUCGCUGGAGCUCAUAAAUGUCCCUCCUCAGCGAGGACAGCUUUUGAACGUUUGAUCUCAAAUCAGGUAGGACUACCCGCUGAACUUAAGCAUAUCAAUAAGCGGAGGCU
This 436-nucleotide unclassified non-coding RNA is filed under the name uncultured Thelephoraceae. Its description in RNAcentral is "sequence contains ITS2". The stretch from base 1 to 155 matches the Rfam family "5.8S ribosomal RNA". The record is from RNAcentral. Lineage: Eukaryota; Fungi; Basidiomycota; Agaricomycetes; Thelephorales; Thelephoraceae.